GCGUCGGUGGUGCAACGGUUAAGCACAUGCUCGUGGAGAGAGUAAGAUCUGGGUUCGAAUCCCGGCUGACGCA
Molecule: non-coding RNA, 73 nt
Organism: Parelaphostrongylus tenuis
Lineage: Eukaryota; Metazoa; Nematoda; Chromadorea; Rhabditida; Metastrongylidae
Source: the annotation of a GenBank genome assembly